Molecule: long non-coding RNA, 621 nt
Organism: Papaver somniferum (opium poppy)
Lineage: Eukaryota; Viridiplantae; Streptophyta; Magnoliopsida; Ranunculales; Papaveraceae
Exons: 4
Source: RefSeq, a predicted model, not a curated record
AGAGAUUAUAAAGAGAGAAGGAAGGACAAAAACUGUAAGGAGAAGGAGAGGGAAUGUGAUAGGGGUAAGGAGAGAGAGGCUCCAAGAAGGAUGAUACAGACUACAGAGAGUGACGCUGUUGAUGCAUCUGAUGUGAAGGAUGAGAGAAAAAGGGACAAGGAUAAGGGAAUCAUGGAAAGCAACAUCAAAGUGGGGCUGAUGACAUGAGUUCUGAGAAGGAAGAGAAAGAUGAAUCAAAGAAAUCACAAAGACAGUAGUUCUAGGAAAAAAUCAAGAAAGGCAGCAUGCAUACACGCUUGAUUCUGGUAGUGAAGGUGGGCACAAGAUACAUCGUAAAGAUCAUGGAGAUGGGUCCCGUAGAAAUGGCACUCACGAGGAGCUUGAAUACGGGGAACUUGGAGAGAAUGGGAAGAUUGGUGACAACAAAGGUCAACCUGAGUGUGCAAAGAAUCCUGCUUGAUCAGUACCUUUUUCGUCAAGAAAGUAAAUCCGGAGCAUCUUAUCAAGUGCAGCUACACGGGAUUAGCUCACCAGUGCCAACAAAGGCCAACCUGAGUGUGCAAAGAAUCCUGCUUGAGCAGUACCUUUUUGGUCAAGAAAGUAAAUCCGGAGCACUUAUGA